This is a long non-coding RNA of Pseudophryne corroboree (corroboree frog), 522 nucleotides long. RefSeq lists it as uncharacterized. The record is from RefSeq and is a predicted model, not a curated record. The transcript is spliced from 3 exons. Lineage: Eukaryota; Metazoa; Chordata; Amphibia; Anura; Myobatrachidae.
CACCAAGUAACUUUGUUUCUGGAACAAACCAAUACAAAGAUAUGAGAAAAAUGAUAAAUGUCUAAUAAAUCUGAGCUGUCAGUGGCUCCAUCUAACAGCCAGAAUGUCACCAUAUUAGAGAAGAAAGAUGUCACAUGACUGCCAAGUAACAAUCCUAAUCAUUUCCAUGUCACCACUGAUAAGAAACACAUGGAUUGGAAGUAGAAGGCAAAAAAAAAUAGAUAUAAUGAAGUAACCGAGGAAUACUAAUAAUUUCUAUAAAAAGGUUUACUGUACCAUGACAGUGUUUUCAUUUAACUACACCUGUCAUUGAGAAAUCCCAGAGCUGUCUUGUGCAUUUCCAAAGAAGUGCUUCAUCAUGAAUAUCAAAGAACCUUCAACGGCAAUCCAGUAAAUGUAAUUGGAAAGCAACAUGUGAUCUUUAUUGUAUUAAAAACAUUUUAAUAGUUCCCAGUUAGGAAGUCCAGCAUAAAGGUAUUCCAUAAAUGUUAAUUGUACAAAAGACUGUUUCAUACAGUACAG